CACCGCGGUUAUACGAGAGGCCCAAGAUGACAGAAAUCGGUGUAAAGAGUGGUUAAGGAGUUCAUAACUAAAGUCAAACAUUUUCCGAGCUGUUAUACGCACCCGAAAAUUUGAGGAUCUAUCACGAAAGUGACUUUAAUAUACCUGACCCCACGAAAGCUAUGAAA
RNAcentral lists this ribosomal RNA (167 nucleotides) under Cosmocampus arctus. Its description in RNAcentral is "partial small subunit ribosomal RNA". The record is from RNAcentral. Lineage: Eukaryota; Metazoa; Chordata; Actinopteri; Syngnathiformes; Syngnathidae.